Molecule: ribosomal RNA, 303 nt
Filed under: Quercus trojana
Lineage: Eukaryota; Viridiplantae; Streptophyta; Magnoliopsida; Fagales; Fagaceae
Source: RNAcentral
CUCCUGGGAAGUCCUCGUGUUGCACCCCUCUCUUCUUCUUCGCAUUUUUUUUUUUCUCGUUGGGCUUAUCGUUUACGUCGGUCCAGCACGCUCGCUUUGUAGGCUUAGCCCGCCCCAGGCCAAAAACACGAGCCGCAGAUCUCGUUUUGGGUGCUAAAGCGUCGCGGCGACGUCGAAAUCGGCGGAAGCCCCUCGGGUUGCGCCUCUCCGGCGUUAAGGUGCACCGUUGCGUUCGGAUCCUUUUAUAAGAAUUAAACGCGCUUAUGCUGAUGGGUGCGAUCAUACCAACACUAAUGCACCGGA